RNAcentral lists this transfer RNA (73 nucleotides) under Danio rerio (zebrafish). It matches the Rfam family "tRNA". Rfam says of the family: Transfer RNA (tRNA) molecules are approximately 80 nucleotides in length. Their secondary structure includes four short double-helical elements and three loops (D, anti-codon, and T loops). Further hydrogen bonds mediate the characteristic L-shaped molecular structure. tRNAs have two regions of fundamental functional importance: the anti-codon, which is responsible for specific mRNA codon recognition, and the 3' end, to which the tRNAs corresponding amino acid is attached (by aminoacyl-tRNA synthetases). tRNAs cope with the degeneracy of the genetic code in two manners: having more than one tRNA (with a specific anti-codon) for a particular amino acid; and 'wobble' base-pairing, i.e. permitting non-standard base-pairing at the 3rd anti-codon position. Lineage: Eukaryota; Metazoa; Chordata; Actinopteri; Cypriniformes; Danionidae. The record is from Rfam by way of RNAcentral.
GCCCGGCUAGCUCAGGCGGAAGAGCAUGAGACUCUUAAUCUCAGGGUCGAGGGUUCGAGCCCCAAGUUGGGCG